UACGGAGGGUGCAAGCGUUGUUCGGAAUUAUUGGGCGUAAAGGGCGUGUAGGUGGCUUUUCAAGUCCGGUGUGAAAUCCCACGGCUCAACCGUGGAACUGCAUUGGAAACUGGAUGGCUCGAGGGUUGGAGGGGGUCGCGGAAUUCCCGGUGUAGAGGUGAAAUUCGUAGAUAUCGGGAGGAACACCAGUGGCGAAGGCGGCGACCUGGCCAAUCACUGACACUGAAACGCGAAAGCGUGGGGAGCAAACAGG
Molecule: ribosomal RNA, 253 nt
Filed under: uncultured bacterium
Lineage: Bacteria
Description: partial 16S ribosomal RNA
Rfam family: Bacterial small subunit ribosomal RNA
Source: RNAcentral